AGGUUAAAUUAAAGAAUUCGGCAAAUUAAUUUUUCGCCUGUUUAUUAAAAACAUGUCUUUUAGAAUAUAAUUUAAAGUCGGGCCUGCUCUAUGAUUUUUAAAUGGCUGCGGUAUUUUGACCGUACAAAGGUAGCAUAAUAAAUAGUUUUUUAAUUGAAAGCUGGAAUGAAAGGUUUAACGAAAAAAUAUCUGUUUUAAUUUAAUUUUAUUAGAAUUUUAUUUUUUAGUUAAAAAGCUUAAAUUUGUUUAAUAGACGAGAAGACCCUAUAGAGUUUUAUUAUUAAUUUAUAUUUAUUUAUUUAUAAAAUUAAUAAUAUAAAUUAUUAAUUUGAUUGGGGUGAUUUUUAAAUUUAAUAAACUUUAAUUUUUAAUUACAUUAAUUUAUGAAAAUUUGAUCCAUAAAAAUGAUUAAAAGAUUAAAUUACCUUAGGGAUAACAGCGUAAUUUUUUUAGAGAGUUCAUAUCGAUAAAAAAGAUUGCGACCUCGAUGUUGGAUUAAAAUUAAUAUUAAGUGAAGAAGCUUAAUUAUUAGGUCUGUUCGACCUUUAAAUUUUUACAUGAUCUGAGUUUAGACCGGUGUGAGCCAGGUUAGUUUCUAUCUUUAUAAAUAUAAAAUAUUUUAGUACGAAAGGACCAAAUAUU
RNAcentral lists this ribosomal RNA (642 nucleotides) under Ptiliidae sp. BMNH 1274724. RNAcentral's name for it is "16S ribosomal RNA". It matches the Rfam family "Bacterial large subunit ribosomal RNA", at positions 1697 to 2700 of the family's 2925-position model. Lineage: Eukaryota; Metazoa; Arthropoda; Insecta; Coleoptera; Ptiliidae. The record is from RNAcentral.